AUGUCACUCCCUCCAUCACCGCCGCCGUUACCAUCCACCUCCGUCCAGCUCUCGCUGCCGCCGGCCACUUCCACGGCGAUGACGGAGAUCGCGUCCGGGACCACCGCCCCCUCCGCUCCAGCGGCCAUCACCACUACGGGGGAUCCGCCCCCGCUCCUCUCGCCGGAGGAGGUGUCGGGCACCCUGCGGGAGCUUGUCCAGGCGGUCAGGGGUAUUACCCUCUACCUCGCCGGGAACCAGCCCCCGCCACCGAGCGCCGUCACCACCGUCUACGGACCGCCGCCGCUACAAUGGGCCGUCCCGGUCCUCCAGGCGCCCUCCGGAGGGGCGCCCCAGCUGCCGCUGCUGCUGCCGCACUACUCGGCGGCGAGACAACCUUGGCCAGCGUGGCUGGCCUCCACCACGCCGCUGGGGGGCCCGACCCAGCAGUUUCUUCCGGCGCCACCGCCGCCCCCUCCCCCGACGCAGGCGUUGGUGCAGUAG
This 483-nucleotide ribosomal RNA is filed under the name Triticum aestivum (bread wheat). RNAcentral describes it as "partial small subunit ribosomal RNA". The record is from RNAcentral. Lineage: Eukaryota; Viridiplantae; Streptophyta; Magnoliopsida; Poales; Poaceae.